CGUAGGUGGCAAGCGUUGUCCGGAUUUAUUGGGCAUAAAGGGAGCGCAGGUGGUUUCUUAAGUCUGAUGUGAAAGCCCACGGCUUAACCGUGGAGGGUCAUUGGAAACUGGGGAACUUGAGUGCAGAAGAGGAAAGCGGAAUUCCAUGUGUAGCGGUGAAAUGCGUAGAUAUAUGGAGGAACACCAGUGGCGAAAGCGGCUUUCUGGUCUGUAACUGACACUGAGGCUCGAAAGCGUGGGGGAGCAAACAGGAUU
This 255-nucleotide ribosomal RNA is filed under the name uncultured bacterium. Its description in RNAcentral is "partial 16S ribosomal RNA". It matches the Rfam family "Bacterial small subunit ribosomal RNA", at positions 526 to 779 of the family's 1533-position model. The record is from RNAcentral.